UUCAAACAACCUAUCGAACUGAACCCUGAAGAGUCUCCACUUGAAACCAAUGGAUUCCGUCUGAAUCUGACAUGACUAAACUUCUCAGACAGUGUUAUGCUAAUCCUUGAAGUUCUUUCCUCACAUUCUUCAAAAGUGUUAACUUUCGUCGACUUGAGCUUCCUCAAAUUCAGCAGUUACAAACUCUUCUGUUCAAUUCUAAGGUUCUGACAUAAAUGCACGAAACUGAUUUGGUGCGGUAGUAACUCGAUAAUUAUAUCCUUAAACCUCCACAGUUCUCUGUCUUUGGU
Molecule: long non-coding RNA, 290 nt
Filed under: Daucus carota (carrot)
Lineage: Eukaryota; Viridiplantae; Streptophyta; Magnoliopsida; Apiales; Apiaceae
Description: long non-coding RNA (DCAR_LNC007292)
Source: RNAcentral